CAUUACCGAGUGCAGGUCUGCCCCCGGGCAGGCCUAACCUCCCACCCGUGAAUACCUGACCAACGUUGCUUCGGCGGUGCGCCCCCCCGGGGGUAGCCGCCGGAGACCACACCGAACCUCCUGUCUUUAGUGUUGUCUGAGCUUGAUAGCAAACCUAUUAAAACUUUCAACAAUGGAUCUCUUGGUUCCGGCAUCGAUGAAGAACGCAGCGAACUGCGAUAAGUAAUGUGAAUUGCAGAAUUCAGUGAAUCAUCGAGUCUUUGAACGCACAUUGCGCCCCCUGGCAUUCCGGGGGGCAUGCCUGUCCGAGCGUCAUUGCUGCCCUUCAAGCCCGGCUUGUGUGUUGGGUCGCCGUCCCCCCCGGGGGACGGGCCCGAAAGGCAGCGGCGGCACCGCGUCCGGUCCUCGAGCGUAUGGGGCUUUGUCACCCGCUCGAUUAGGGCCGGCCGGGCGCCAGCCGGCGUCUCCAACCUUCUAUUUUACAGGGUUGACCUCGGAUCAGGUAGGGAUA
This 511-nucleotide ribosomal RNA is filed under the name fungal sp. E15517E. RNAcentral's name for it is "eukaryotic LSU rRNA". The stretch from base 162 to 315 matches the Rfam family "5.8S ribosomal RNA". Lineage: Eukaryota; Fungi. The record is from RNAcentral.